AUUUAUUGGAAUAUUUUUGGGAAUUAAAUUUGUAUGACAGAUUAUAAUUGAAAUUAUCAGAAUUUAUUCAAAGAAUCACUUUUACUUUUUGAUUACUCGAAGUUACAUUUGCAACUUCUUAGGGAUUUACAAUUGAAUAGGAGUAAAAUUAAGAUAGAAAGGAGCAAUCUCGUUUCUCAACUAAUUCAAUGUCUUUCGCCCGUUUUACAACACUCAGUACUUGAUAAAUUGCAUUAGAGGAAUAAGUUCAGGUGAUGGUAACAUAGUACGCUUGUUUCUAGUAGUUGAAUACGAUCAAGAGGCAAAGUAUCAUUGGUGACGUAGAUAGUGAGCUCAGAAUGGCAUAUUGAUUCUGUGACGUCAUAUACAACCUACGCAAGAAACAUGCCAUUAAAUUCGCGGU
This is a long non-coding RNA of Apis mellifera (honey bee), 403 nucleotides long. RefSeq lists it as uncharacterized. The record is from RefSeq and is a predicted model, not a curated record. The transcript has 2 exons. Lineage: Eukaryota; Metazoa; Arthropoda; Insecta; Hymenoptera; Apidae.